Molecule: unclassified non-coding RNA, 163 nt
Filed under: uncultured Helotiales
Lineage: Eukaryota; Fungi; Ascomycota; Leotiomycetes; Helotiales
Description: sequence contains ITS1
Source: RNAcentral
CCGAGUUCAUGCCCUUCGGGGUAGAUCUCCCACCCUUUGUUUACCACACCUAUGUUGCUUUGGCGGGCCGCCUCGGCUACUGGCUUCGGCUGGUACGUGCCCGCCAGAGACCCCAACCAAAACCCAGUUAUUAAUGUCGUCUGAGUAAAAUAUUUAAUAUUUA